Molecule: ribosomal RNA, 1050 nt
Filed under: Merluccius hubbsi (Argentine hake)
Lineage: Eukaryota; Metazoa; Chordata; Actinopteri; Gadiformes; Merlucciidae
Description: partial 16S ribosomal RNA
Rfam family: Bacterial large subunit ribosomal RNA
Source: RNAcentral
GAGCCCAGUUAUAGCUGGUUGCCUGAGAAAUGAAUAGAAGUUCAGCCCUUUAAACCUUUCCCCACCCACAAUGCUUUACGCUUAAAUAGGCCAAGGAAGCUAAAGGAGUUAAUCAGAAGGGGUACAGCCCUUCUGAUAGAAGAAACAACUUUAACAGGUGUCCCAAGAUCAUAUUAAUUAAGGACUUUAAAUUAAGUGGGCCUAAGAGCAGCCAUCUUAACAGAAAGCGUUAAAGCUCAAAUUAAAUACCACCCGCACAUACUGAUAUCUCAUCCCCCUCCCUGCUUUUUACCAGGCUAUCCUAUGCCUCCAUAGGAAUAAUUAUGCUAAAAUGAGUAAUAAGAAGAAUAUUGUUCUUCUCCAAGCACACGUGUAAGUCGGAGCGGACCCCCCGCCGACUAUUAACCGGCCCCAAACCCAGAGGGGCAUAAGUCUUUCCAACAAGAAAACCACUUAUUCUUAACCGUUAACCCUACACAGGUGUGCCCCAAGGAAAGACUAAAAGAGAAGGAAGGAACUCGGCAAACACAAGCCUCGCCUGUUUACCAAAAACAUCGCCUCUUGUCCCUCAGAAUAUAAGAGGUCCCGCCUGCCCUGUGACUAUAUGUUUAACGGCCGCGGUAUCUUAACCGUGCGAAGGUAGCGUAAUCACUUGUCUUUUAAAUGAAGACCUGUAUGAAUGGCAUCACGAGGGCUUAACUGUCUCCCCUCUCCAGUCAAUGAAAUUGACCUCCCCGUGCAGAGGCGGGGAUAUUUCUAUAAGACGAGAAGACCCUGUGGAGCUUUAGACCUAAAAUAAACCACGUUUAAUAUACUAAAAUUAAUAGCAAAAACUUAGUGGACAUUUAUUUAAGUGUCUUUGGUUGGGGCGACCGCGGAGUAAAACACAACCUCCAUGUGGACGGGGAUACUAUCCCUAAAACUCAGAGCCUCCACUCCAAGCAACAGAAAUUCUGACCUCACUGAUCCGGUACAGCCGAUUAACGAACCCAGUUACCCCAGGGAUAACAGCGCAAUCCCCUCUCAGAGCUCAUAUCGACGAGGGGGUUU